This 981-nucleotide ribosomal RNA is filed under the name Microbacterium sp. RNAcentral's name for it is "bacterial SSU rRNA". It matches the Rfam family "Bacterial small subunit ribosomal RNA", at positions 49 to 1041 of the family's 1533-position model. Lineage: Bacteria; Bacillati; Actinomycetota; Actinomycetes; Micrococcales; Microbacteriaceae. The record is from RNAcentral.
UAACACAUGCAAGUCGAACGGUGAAGCCAAGCUUGCUUGGUGGAUCAGUGGCGAACGGGUGAGUAACACGUGAGCAACCUGCCCUGGACUCUGGGAUAAGCGCUGGAAACGGCGUCUAAUACUGGAUAUGAGACGUGAUCGCAUGGUCGUGUUUGGAAAGAUUUYUCGGUCUGGGAUGGGCUCGCGGCCUAUCAGCUUGUUGGUGAGGUAAUGGCUCACCAAGGCGUCGACGGGUAGCCGGCCUGAGAGGGUGACCGGCCACACUGGGACUGAGACACGGCCCAGACUCCUACGGGAGGCAGCAGUGGGGAAUAUUGCACAAUGGGCGAAAGCCUGAUGCAGCAACGCCGCGUGAGGGAUGACGGCCUUCGGGUUGUAAACCUCUUUUAGCAGGGAAGAAGCGAAAGUGACGGUACCUGCAGAAAAAGCGCCGGCUAACUACGUGCCAGCAGCCGCGGUAAUACGUAGGGCGCAAGCGUUAUCCGGAAUUAUUGGGCGUAAAGAGCUCGUAGGCGGUUUGUCGCGUCUGCUGUGAAAUCCCGAGGCUCAACCUCGGGCCUGCAGUGGGUACGGGCAGACUAGAGUGCGGUAGGGGAGAUUGGAAUUCCUGGUGUAGCGGUGGAAUGCGCAGAUAUCAGGAGGAACACCGAUGGCGAAGGCAGAUCUCUGGGCCGUAACUGACGCUGAGGAGCGAAAGGGUGGGGAGCAAACAGGCUUAGAUACCCUGGUAGUCCACCCCGUAAACGUUGGGAACUAGUUGUGGGGACCAUUCCACGGUUUCCGUGACGCAGCUAACGCAUUAAGUUCCCCGCCUGGGGAGUACGGCCGCAAGGCUAAAACUCAAAGGAAUUGACGGGGACCCGCACAAGCGGCGGAGCAUGCGGAUUAAUUCGAUGCAACGCGAAGAACCUUACCAAGGCUUGACAUAUACGAGAACGGGCCAGAAAUGGUCAACUCUUUUGGACACUCGUAAACAGGUGG